Molecule: ribosomal RNA, 1353 nt
Filed under: metagenome
Description: bacterial LSU rRNA
Rfam family: Bacterial large subunit ribosomal RNA
Source: RNAcentral
CGAGUCCGAGGAGCUAAGGCUCCAAAGUGAUGCGAGUCAGAUUUCCCAGAAAAGCCCGAACCACGUUAAUUUCUAAUUACCUGUACCCGAAACCGACACAGGUAGGAAGGUAGAGAAUACUAAGGGGCGCGAGAUAACUCUCUCUAAGGAACUCGGCAAAAUUACCCCGUAACUUUGGGAGAAGGGGUGCCACCGCAAGGUGGUCGCAGUGAAGAGGCCCAGGCGACUGUUUACCAAAAACACAGGUCUCCGCCAAGUCGCAAGACGCAGUAUGGGGGCUGACGCCUGCCCAGUGCCGGAAGGUUAAGGAAGUUGGUUAGUUUCGACGAAGCUAGCGACCGAAGCCCCGGUGAACGGCGGCCGUAACUAUAACGGUCCUAAGGUAGCGAAAUUCCUUGUCGGGUAAGUUCCGACCCGCACGAAAGGCGUAACGAUCUGGGCACUGUCUCGGAGAGAGGCUCGGCGAAAUAGGAUUGUCUGUGAAGAUACGGACUACCUGCACCUGGACAGAAAGACCCUAUGAAGCUUUACUGUAGCUUGGAAUUGGGUUCGGGCUUCCCUUGCGCAGCAUAGGUGGGAGGCUUUGAAGUCGGGGCGUCAGCCUCGGCGGAGCCAUCGUUGAGAUACCACCCUUACUGCACUGGAAGUCUAACCCAGGCCCGUUAUCCGGGUCGGGGACAGUGUCUGGUGGGUAGUUUGACUGGGGCGGUCGCCUCCAAAAGUGUAACGGAGGCGCCCUAAGGUACCCUCAGGCUGAUUGGAAACCAGCCGCAGAGCGCAAAGGUAUAAGGGUGCUUGACUGCGAGACCUACAAGUCGAGCAGGUACGAAAGUAGGGCUUAGUGAUCCGGCGGUUCCGAGUGGAAGGGCCGUCGCUCAACGGAUAAAAGGUACUCCGGGGAUAACAGGCUUAUCCUGCCCAAGAGUUCACAUCGACGGCAGGGUUUGGCACCUCGAUGUCGGCUCAUCGCAUCCUGGGGCUGAAGCAGGUCCCAAGGGUUCGGCUGUUCGCCGAUUAAAGCGGUACGUGAGCUGGGUUUAGAACGUCGUGAGACAGUUCGGUCCCUAUCUACCGUGGGCGCAGGAUACUUGAGGAGAUCUGUCCUCAGUACGAGAGGACCGGGAUGGACGAACCUCUGGUGUACCAGUUGUCGCGCCAGCGGCAUAGCUGGGUAGCUAUGUUCGGAAAGGAUAACCGCUGAAAGCAUCUAAGCGGGAAGCCCACUCCAAGAUCAGGUAUCCCGGGCGAAAGCCCCUGAAGACCCCAGGAAGACCACCUGGUUGAUAGGCGGGGUGUGGAAGCGUGGCAACACGUGGAGCUGACCCGUACUAAUCGGUCGUGAGGCUUGACCAC